GAAAUCCUCGUUCCAAUCU
Molecule: transfer RNA, 19 nt
Filed under: Solanum praetermissum
Lineage: Eukaryota; Viridiplantae; Streptophyta; Magnoliopsida; Solanales; Solanaceae
Description: partial tRNA-Phe
Source: RNAcentral